This 448-nucleotide ribosomal RNA is filed under the name uncultured bacterium. Its description in RNAcentral is "bacterial SSU rRNA". It matches the Rfam family "Bacterial small subunit ribosomal RNA", at positions 328 to 792 of the family's 1533-position model. The record is from RNAcentral.
UGACCAGACUCCUACGGGAGGCAGCAGUGGGGAAUAUUGCACAAUGGGGGAAACCCUGAUGCAGCGACGCCGCGUGAGGGAAGAAGGUUUUCGGAUUGUAAACCUCUGUCCUUGGUGACGAAAGAAGACGGUAGCCAAGGAGGAAGCCACGGCUAACUACGUGCCAGCAGCCGCGGUAAUACGUAGGGGGCAAGCGUUAUCCGGAUUUACUGGGUGUAAAGGGAGCGUAGACGGCAGUGCAAGUCUGGAGUGAAAGGCGGGGGCUCAACCCCCGGACUGCUCUGGAAACUGUACGGCUGGAGUGCAGGAGAGGUAAGUGGAAUUCCUAGUGUAGCGGUGAAAUGCGUAGAUAUUAGGAGGAACACCAGUGGCGAAGGCGGCUUACUGGACUGUAACUGACGUUGAGGCUCGAAAGCGUGGGGAGCAAACAGGAUUAGAUACCCUUGUA